CCCUUAGAUGUCCUGGGCCGCACGCGCGUUACACUGAUGCAUUCAACGAGCUUAUAACCUUGGCCGAGAGGCCUGGGCAAUCUUGUUAACGUGCAUCGUGAUAGGGAUAGAUUAUUGAAAUUAUUAAUCUUGAACGAGGAAUUCCUAGUAAACGCAGAUCAUCAAUCUGCAUUGAUUACGUCCCUGCCCUUUGUACACACCGCCCGUCGCACCUACCGAUUGGAUGGUCCGGUGAAGCCUCGGGAUUGUGGUUCUUGCCGCUUUAUUGUGGCGUGACCGCGAGAACUUGUAUAAACCUUAUCAUCUAGAGGAAGGUGAAGUCGUAACA
This 328-nucleotide ribosomal RNA is filed under the name uncultured eukaryote. Its description in RNAcentral is "partial 18S ribosomal RNA". It matches the Rfam family "Eukaryotic small subunit ribosomal RNA", at positions 1470 to 1796 of the family's 1831-position model. The record is from RNAcentral.